GGAUUAGAUACCCUGGUAGUCCUUGCCGUAAACGAUGCACACUUGGUGUAGUUGGGCUCAACCCUGACUGUGCCGUAGCUAACGUGUUAAGUGUGCCGCCUGGGGAGUACGCUCGCAAGGGUGAAACUCAAAAGAAUUGACGGGGACCCGCACAAGCAGUGGAGCAUGUGGUUUAAUUCGAUGCAACGCGAAGAACCUUACCCAGACUUGACAUAUAGCGGACAGCCUUGGAAACAAGGCUUCUCGUAUGGGUCGCUAUACAGGUGCUGCAUGGCUGUCGUCAGCUCGUGUUG
Molecule: ribosomal RNA, 293 nt
Filed under: uncultured bacterium
Lineage: Bacteria
Description: partial 16S ribosomal RNA
Rfam family: Bacterial small subunit ribosomal RNA
Source: RNAcentral